RNAcentral lists this long non-coding RNA (1901 nucleotides) under Homo sapiens (human). RNAcentral describes it as "HSALNT0372803". The record is from RNAcentral. Lineage: Eukaryota; Metazoa; Chordata; Mammalia; Primates; Hominidae.
AAAAAAAAAAAAAAAAAAGAAAGAAAAUCACAUCCCUUCUUUUCACAAGUCAGUCUGCAGGAAAACAGCCUGUUGCUUGGCAAGAGUGACACUGAAGUGAAACCUCAAUGACAACCAGCGUUUGACUACUGCAUACCGAAGUGUUCCCACAGCGUAGAUAACCCCCCAUAAAGAAACAAUGCCUAUGGCAUAGAUAACCUUUCAUAAAGACGUUUAUCUCAUCUCCCUAGAGGUCACAAGUUUUGGCAAGGAAGUGUGAGAUGUGACCAGCUGCACUUGUCUGUACCCUAAAAGCUUGCUAUGUAAAGGCUGCUUUCUGGAGGGCAGGUGCAAAGAUCCACCAUCUCACAGCUGCCAGAGACAUGGCUUCUGUUUGUACGUCCCUAUCAAAUGUUUCUUUCUGAGAAACUGGACGUGUCAGCCUCUUUCCUCACCUCUUUUCUCAGCCUCUCACCCUGUGGGGUGGGGUUUGCAUAGACCUGCUCACCGCGGAACACAGCCACUUUUACCUUGUUCAUUUGUGAAAAAUUAAUAACUUCCCUGCUGAAAAUUUCCAAGACUGUUAGGUACAAUGUGCAAUUAAACUUUGGAUCUUCACUGGACGUUUACUGGAGAAGUAGUUAGCAUGUGCCCCAGGCGCAGAUAAAAAGGCAACGCAAGACAGAGCUAAGGGAGUUAUUGGCUUGUGGUCACCAUGAGUCAACAGCAGCAAAAUUUGAUCAAGAGCCUCCACAUCUUAAAAGUUCUUAGGCCAUUACCUAAGCACACAGACAUCAAGCUAUGUUGUUCAGUCCUCAACCUAGGUGUCAUCCUUGAUUUCUCCCUUUCCACAUCCAAUGAAUAAUUAAAAAAUAAGCAAAUGUGUAUUGAUUACCAUUUUCUCAAAAUUGUCAUGGAGCUUUACAUGGAGUAAAUAUUAAUGCUUAAAUUCUCAUAGGAACACAAUGUGGUAGGUAUAUGAGUAUCAUUCUCAUCUUUCAGAAGGGAAGACUGAGGCCAGGGAAAGUUUAAUAAGCUGCUCCAGGACUUCUCCUUAAUAAGUAGCAAGUCCUCUGCCACUCUCCCCUAUAUCUAUCCUGUGUCCUGCCCCUUCUCAAACGCCCGAUCAUCCCCCAGGCAGUCUCGUCUGCUGUCAUUGCUUUCUUGUCUCUCUGCUUCUACUCAUAUCAUCACCAACAGCAAAGUAGGCAGCUGUCUUUUUAAAAAUCAAUCAGAUCAAGCCAUGCUCUUACUUAAAACCCUGUAAUGACCCAGCACUUUGGGAGGCCAAGGUGGCUGGAUCACUUGAGGUCAGGAGUUCAAGACUGGCCUUGCCAACAUGGUGAAACCCCAUCUCUACUAAAAAUACAAAAAUUAGCCGGGCAAAUUUGAUCAAGAGCCUCCACAUCUUAAAAGUUCUUAGGCCAUUACAUAAGCACACAGACAUCAAGCACACAGAGCAAAUUAGCACAAGUGGCCCACCCAUAAGAAUCACUUGAACCCGGGAGGCGGAGGUUGCAGUGAGCCGAGAUUGUGCCACUGAACUCCAGCCUGGGCAACAGAACAAAAAACAAACAAACAAAAAAACUCCUGUUUCUUUAUGUCUGCUUAUUACAAAAAGUAUAAACUCAUAUUGAUUGUCAGGGCUGUCCUAUACACAACUCCAAGGCGUCUAUUUAUUUUGCAUUCUAUGGGCUUCCUAAUGGAUGUGCCCUGGGGGUGAGGUGCUGCACACAUGCAUAUAAUGGGAAUACCGCUCCCUGCACAGUAUUCCCCAAAAGAAUAGGUAGUGAGAAGGUGUGUGUAAUGGUAGAAUCUCACAAAUCCCAUGCAUUGAGUCUAUUUUCAAAAUAUCCCAGGAGGCCAUCUUGAUGCUUCCAAAGUCACCAGAGCAGCACUGCAGUGGGUGGGACCAGUAUUUC